Molecule: ribosomal RNA, 433 nt
Filed under: uncultured bacterium
Lineage: Bacteria
Description: partial 16S ribosomal RNA
Rfam family: Bacterial small subunit ribosomal RNA
Source: RNAcentral
AACGAACGCUGGCGGCAUGCCUAACACAUGCAAGUCGAACGAGACCUUCGGGUCUAGUUGCGCACGGGUGCGUAACGCGUGGGAACCUGCCUUUAGGUUCGGAAUAACUCAGAGAAAUUUGAGCUAAUACCGGAUGAUGUCUUCGGACCAAAGAUUUAUCGCCUUUAGAUGGGCCCGCGUUGGUUUAGCUAGUUGGUGGGGUAAAGGCCUACCAAGGCGACGAUCCAUAGCUGGUCUGAGAGGAUGAUCAGCCACACUGGGACUGAGACACGGCCCAGACUCCUACGGGAGGCAGCAGUGGGGAAUAUUGGAAAAUGGGCGAAAGCCUGAGCCAGCAAUGCCGCGUGAGUGAUGAAGGCCUUAGGGUUGUAAAGCUCUUUUACCCGAGAUGAUAAUGACAGUAUCGGGAGAAUAAGCUCCGGCUAACUCCGUG